GAUGAACGCUGGCGGCGUGCCUAAUACAUGCAAGUCGAGCGAACGGACGAGAAGCUUGCUUCUCUGAUGUUAGCGGCGGACGGGUGAGUAACACGUGGAUAACCUACCUAUAAGACUGGGAUAACUUCGGGAAACCGGAGCUAAUACCGGAUAAUAUUUUGAACCGCAUGGUUCAAAAGUGAAAGACGGUCUUGCUGUCACUUAUAGAUGGAUCCGCGCUGCAUUAGCUAGUUGGUAAGGUAACGGCUUACCAAGGCAACGAUGCAUAGCCGACCUGAGAGGGGGAUAGGCCACACGGGAACGGAGACACGGACCAGACUCCUACGGGAGGCAGCAGUAGGGAAUCUUCCGCAAUGGGCGAAAGCCUGACGGAGCAACGCCGCGUGAGUGAUGAAGGUCUUCGGAUCGUAAAACUCUGUUAUUAGGGAAGAACAUAUGUGUAAGGAACUGUGCACAUCGUGACGGUACCUAAUCAGAAAGCCACGGCUAACUACGUG
This 497-nucleotide ribosomal RNA is filed under the name uncultured bacterium. RNAcentral's name for it is "partial 16S ribosomal RNA". It matches the Rfam family "Bacterial small subunit ribosomal RNA", at positions 28 to 507 of the family's 1533-position model. The record is from RNAcentral.